RNAcentral lists this long non-coding RNA (913 nucleotides) under Salmo salar (Atlantic salmon). Its description in RNAcentral is "lncRNA (ENSSSAG00000085765.1)". Lineage: Eukaryota; Metazoa; Chordata; Actinopteri; Salmoniformes; Salmonidae. The record is from RNAcentral.
GAAGAGUUUCUUCUACUGUAUCAAGCCUCUCCAGCGGUCCUUGGUCUGCUCCAGUACUAUUGGUUGACCCCAGUCCAACAGAAGACACACCCUUCCUUUGGUCCUUUGGCUCUUCUUAGAAGCCUCUGAUGAAUCACCAAACCUCUUCAUGAUUCUCUAAACAUCCAACAUGAAGUGACUUCUCUUAGAACUUCUGUGGUGUGGAACUCAACACCCUGAGAGAUGUAGCAACAUGAAGAGUUGAAGAGUCGUACCAGUUGUUGACUCAACGUAGUUAGAAAACGGAGCUUCAACAGCUGAAUCAAGUCAGCGUGCUGUCUGGCGUAGACGGGAAUUCUGCCGGCGCUGCCACUCUGCCACUAACAAAGACAUACACACAUUAAGACCCAAAGAUCCAAUGAGACAGUUUUACCAUGGUGUACUAGAUAUGAGACAACAAGGGGGCUUUCUCCUGAGUCGUAGGAGCACAGAGACAUAGUACUGGGAUUGUGGUGAGAGCUGUGACAUGAUACACCCUGCGUGCUAGUCAAAUGGAGACUCAACAGCAGGCCUUCAAGCCCAACAGAUGACUGACAUAAAGGAGAAGAAAACAGAAGUAGAGGGGGAGAUUAAAUAAGAGAUGGGGGGAUUAUUGAAAGGCAUUAAAAUGACACAGAAGAUUAUUCCGACAUCGGCAGGCAGCAGCCAGCCAGAGACAGUCUGCUCAAGGUCACCAACUGGCUGAGAAUUGCCACUUCAAGAGACAAACAGAAAAGAACAUCAAGACAGCAGGAAGGAGACAAACAGAAAAGAACAUCAAGACAGCAGGAAGGAGACAAACAGAAAAGAACAUCAAGACAGCAGGAAGGAGACAAACAGAAAAGAACAUCAAGACAGCAGGAAGGAGACAAACAGAAAAGAACAUCAAGACAAC